UCUACGAGGCAUGAAUUCGUGUCAUACCAUGUCAUCGAUUCAUCCAGAAAUUUUGAAAGAUUUAAACCAAUUAAACUUUUCAUUGAUUCAUACAGAUCAUUAUGUAUUGUUUGAUCAAACAUGUAAAUCAAAUGAGAAAUAUUUAUCAUUUGAUGUAACCUUAAAUCGAAUAGAUAAAAUAGAUAUCAAUUAUACUUCAAAAUUAUACUUAUCCAUUAUCAAAUUUAACAAUAUCAAACAUGAUAUCCACGAAUAUUCAUUUGAGAAUUUUAGAAUUUACUCGCAAUGACAAAUUUCUUUCAAUGUGCAAUGUAAAGGAUUUUAAAUUUUGGUGUAGUCGAAGGGCAUCGACGUUUUGUAAAAAUGUGACAUUUCUCGAAGAACAAUUGAACGAAGUUUUCAAAUUUCGAAAUACUAAUGUCAGUAAUUGGAUCAUCGAGAACAAAGCUCGUAGUUUAUGCAUUGGAUAUUACAAAAGCCAAAAAGAGGACAGACAACAGCUUUUAAACUUAUUAGCAGCCAAGUAUGCUGUUCAGCAUGAUAACAUAUGCAAUAUAGCAAAGAAGUUAGUCUGUACAGAGCCUGACAAUAAAAGACGAAUGGUUUCUUACGAACAAAGCUUAAAAAACAUUCUCAUACCAGAUUAUCAAUGGCUGUUUCUUGUUAUUGGAAGACUUGAAAGUGGUGUAAAAUUUCUUGUUGAUUUAAGAACAGAUAUUUUGGAGUUAAUGUUGGAAACCAAAGAAAGCGAUGAAAAUGUUUUAAUACAACAGUUAAAUGUUACAUUACGAGAUUUAUUAUUACUCUGGUUUUCAGUAGGUUUUUUACAUUUAGAGAGAAUAACUUGGCAAAGUGCAUGCGACAUGUUACAAAAGAUUUCAGAUUAUGAAGCGAUACAUCCUAUAAAGAAUUGGCUGGAUUUAAAACAAAGGGUUGGACCUUACAGGAGAUGCUAUGUUUUUACUCAUCCAUCUAUGCCAAGGGAACCACUUGUCGUGUUACAUACAGCGUUAUGCGAUGUAAUACCAGACAGUGUAAAAGGGAUCGAAGAAGCAAAGACCAGAAUCCUUGGUAGCGUAAGAAAAGAAAUAACAUUCCUGGAAGAAGACAAAUCUAAAAUAAAAACAGCAUUAUUUUAUUCCAUAGCUUCUACACAGAAAGGAUUAAAAGGAAUUGAACUUGGUAAUUACUUGAUAAAAGAAGUAGCAAACGAAGUGAUAUCCGAAUUUCCUAUGAUACAUGAAUUAUCUACUUUAUCACCGAUACCGAAUUUUAAAAGUUGGCUCCUUGAAAAAUUAAAACAAGAUGUGAAUUGUAUCUUUACGGGUGAAGAAUGCAGGUCUAUACAAGAUCUUUUAAAAGAAGAAAAUGUUGCACUUAACGUAAGAAAGAUACUUAAUAAUUCACUGUGGACCAAUGAUAAAGAAUUAUGCGAAAUUUUAAGAGAGCCAUUAAUUCGAGCAUGUGCAUGGUAUUUGUAUAAAGAAAAAAGACGGAAUUAUGCCUUAAAUAAUGUUGCGAAUUUUCAUCUUCGUAAUGGAGCAGUUAUGUGGAGAAUAAAUUGGUUGGCUGAUCCUUCGCCGCGCGGUGUUGCAAAUAGUUGUAGCAUUAUGAUAAAUUAUAGAUACUACUUAAACGAAUGCGAAAAGAAUAGUCAAAAUUAUAUUGAGAAUUAUUUUAUAAAUGCAUCUGAAGGUGUAAUUAAUCUUGCUAUGCAACAAGAAAAGUUAUGGAAUAAAACUUAAAAUAAUAUGAAGAAAAUGGCAUUUGCGAGAAAUAUAUGUGGGUGAUACAAAACAUAUCGUGACGUCACAAUUGCACGAGCAUCACCAUCAGAGAAGCGAGCUUUAUUCUUCACGCCUUGUACACGCAAGGUACCUGUAGUCAAGGCUGGGUUUGGUGAAAGUUUGUGGGAAGAUGAGGUCUACUUUCUAGUUUUGUAUAAUCCAAAUGAAAUUCCUUUGCUACUUUUCUCCAACUUUGCGCAUCAAAAUAAUAAUAAGUACCACGUUCA
This is an RNA transcript of Hylaeus anthracinus, 2014 nucleotides long. It is a transcript of the gene named malonyl-CoA decarboxylase, mitochondrial-like, with no coding region annotated. Lineage: Eukaryota; Metazoa; Arthropoda; Insecta; Hymenoptera; Colletidae. The transcript has 12 exons. The record is from RefSeq and is a predicted model, not a curated record.